This 30-nucleotide non-coding RNA is filed under the name Rattus norvegicus (Norway rat). Lineage: Eukaryota; Metazoa; Chordata; Mammalia; Rodentia; Muridae. The record is from RNAcentral.
UAUCAUGCUGGGAUGGGACAAAAUGUUUGU